CGUGAGCAAUCUGGCCUUUGGAUGGGGGAUAACAGCCGGAAACGACUGCUAAUACCGCAUGAUGCAGCGGGGUCGCAUGAUUUUGCUGCCAAAGAUUUAUCGUCCAAAGAUGAGCUCGCGUCUGAUUAGCCAGUUGGCGGGGUAACGGGCCACCAAAGCGACGAUCAGUAGCCGGACUGAGAGGUUGAACGGCCACAUUGGGACUGAGACACGGCCCAGACUCCUACGGAAGGCAGCAG
RNAcentral lists this ribosomal RNA (239 nucleotides) under uncultured bacterium. RNAcentral's name for it is "partial 16S ribosomal RNA". It matches the Rfam family "Bacterial small subunit ribosomal RNA", at positions 116 to 354 of the family's 1533-position model. The record is from RNAcentral.